This 24-nucleotide non-coding RNA is filed under the name Arabidopsis thaliana (thale cress). The record is from RNAcentral. Lineage: Eukaryota; Viridiplantae; Streptophyta; Magnoliopsida; Brassicales; Brassicaceae.
GACGGUUACAGGAGCAUCUACGGA